AAGCUUAGGAUAACAUAAACCAAGGACCUUCAAAGCCCUAAAUAGGGACUAAAGCCCCCCUAGCUUCU
RNAcentral lists this transfer RNA (68 nucleotides) under Uta squamata. Its description in RNAcentral is "tRNA-Trp". Lineage: Eukaryota; Metazoa; Chordata; Lepidosauria; Squamata; Phrynosomatidae. The record is from RNAcentral.